CCUGGCUGACCCGGCGAGCUCUCCCUCCUGCCUCUGGCUACAGCUCUGCGUAUCAAGCCCCGCCCCGGCCCAAAGGGGUUAUCGCUUCCUGUAGGACGCGCCCCUUGGAGAUAAUUCCUCUUCACCCUUUGGCCCUUACUCAUUUUAGGGGCAUAAAGUAAUAAAAGAGAAUUCAAUAUCCAUGUAGAGCACUCAAGCAAGUUCUGAAACCGCUUCGUAUCUGCUUUGUACUGUUGAUGCCUUCCUGGUAUCGUAUGUACCCCCAAAUUCUGCAUAGACCAUUUCGUGUAAUGGAAAUGGCACCUUCCUUCUUAAAGGAAGAUACUGACAAGAUGGAGGAUAACGUGAGGAAAAAGAAUAUGAUAUAUACAACUGGGUCACUUUGCUGUACAGAAGAAAUUGACAGAACAUUGUAAAUCAACUAUAGUAGAAAAAAUAAAAAUAUUUAAAAAACAUGCAGUUAAAAUGUGACAAUAAAGAAAUGAUUUGACUUUAAAACAACAAAUUGACCGCACAGUACUAUUGAGAUGUCAUUUCCAGGGGAAACAUUUAAAAAGAAACUCUAAGCUUUUUAAUAUGCAUAUUGUCGGUAAUAACAUUCAUACUGUCAUUUCUGAAAUAUACUAGUAUAAAGCAUAUACAUAAUCUUUGGGAACCAAGAUUUUCAGUAUUAAAAAAAGAAAAUGUAAAGAUUAAAAAAUCAGGGAGUUCCCAUCAUGACUCAGUGGUUAACAAAUCUCACUAGGAACCAUGAGGUUGCUGGUUCCAUCCCUGGCCUUGCUCAGUGGGUUAAGGAUCCAGCAUUGCCGUGAGCUGUGGUGUAGGUCGCAGAUGCAGCUUGGAUCCUGCGUGGCUGUGUCUGUGGUAUAGACUGGCAGCUACAGUUCCGAUUAGACCCCUAGCCUGGGAACCUCCAUAUGCCUCAGGUGCGGCCCUAGAAAAGGCAAAAAAGACAAAGGAAAAAAAAAAAAAAAAGAUUGUUUAAAGGGAUGAAAAAAAAGAUAAAAAAUCAAAGAAAUUAAGUAAAAACACUGCGAUCCUAAGUUUGAUUUUAGAAACAUCAGUGUGAACUACUAAAUUUGAAUUUAGAAAUAUUAGCAUAAACUCAUGGUGCAUUUUUUUUUUCCGUUAAAAAAAUCUGUGCACUGAAAAGGCCUAGAGCAAUGAUCAACUCAAUGCAUAACCCUAUUUUCCUAUAAUCUCUAACUAUAAUUCCCCACUAAAAAUCACCUGGGCUCCUCUUGGAGCUCAAGGCCUGAAUCUAUAUUUGGGGCAAGAAAUGUGUAAGAAAGCUUAGGAUAUACUGGUUAUAUCAGAAUGCAAAGAAGAGAGUUCCCAUUGCGGCGUAACAGAAACGAAUCCCACUAGUAUCCAUUAGGAUGCAGGUUCAAUUCCUGGCCUUGCUCGGUGGGUUAAGGAUCUGGCAUUGCCUGCCGUGAGCUGUGGUGUAGGUCACGAACGCACUGGGAUCCUGCGUUGUUGUGGCUGCGGCUAUGGCCAGCAGCUAAAGCUCCAAUUCAACCCCUAGCCUGGGAACUUCCGUAUGCUGCAGGUGCGUGCCCCCCCCCCAAAAAAAAGAAUGCAAAGAAAACAAAAAUAGGAGUGUGUCAAAAAGACUCAGGAGCCAGGAGCCAAAGGUGUUCAAAGGUGUUCCCACUGGUCAAAGAUGGGAAAAUUUCAGGGUUCAAAAAUAGUAGCAAUUGAGACACAUCUACUAGGUUAAAAAUCAAUGAGUAUGUUGAUUUUUUAAAAUGUCGUUGGUUACCUUUCAAGGAUGCCAAGGAAUCAUCACAUUCUGAAAACUGAUGAAAGAAUCAAGCAUCCUACCUUUUCUGCUGCAAACUGUAUCUCAGCCAAACAGUUAAUGUGGGAAAGUUCUUUUUUUUUUUUUUUUCUUUUUUGCUUUUUAUAUAGGGCAUAUGGAAGUUCCCAGGCUUGGAUCCAAUUGGAGCUGUAGCUGCUGGUCUACACCACGGCCACAGCAAAGCUGGAUCAGAGCUGCAGCUGUGAACUACACCACAGCGCAUGUCAACUCCAGGUCCUUAAUCCACUGAGUGAGGCCAGGGAUGGAACCUGUGUCCUUAUGGAUACUAGUUGGGUUUGUUCCUGCUGAGCCACAACAGGAAUUCCCAGGAAAGUUCUUUUUUUAAUAGAAUUUCAGGUAAUAAAUGCAAAGGAAAAGGUAGACCAUCACCAUUUUGGAAAUUCUAAUGAAAUAAUGUAUUUAGGUAGUGGUCAUCAAGUGAAUCCAGAAUCAUUAGAUGAAAAGCUGAUGGGAAACUUUACAGUGCAUGGGUGGGGCUGACAACACUAGAACUUGUUAAUAUCCCCCAAAGAGAAACUGAUUAGAUGUUAAGUGCUUUCUGAUGUGGAGCAAUAGAAGCACACACCACCUGUGAAAUAUCAGCGUGAAUGUAAGCAACAAAAUCGUGAGAAAAACUGCAGUUACUUCAAUAUAUAAGAAAAAUGAGAAGAUUAAAAGAGAAAUUUCUUUUUAAAAUAUACCACUCAAUGCAAAGGUAGAAUCUUAUGUGACCAUACCAACUAUAAAAAAACAUUUGAGACUAUCUGGAAAUUUUAAAUACUAACUUUAUGAUAUUAAGAAAUUAUUUUUCAAGAUGGGAUAAAUUUCAGUGGUGUCUUUAAAAAGUCAUAAUCUUUUAAAGAUACCUUUUUAAAUAUAUAUGAUGAAAAGAUACAAUACCCCAGAAAGUAACAACGUGUCCCCCCCCAAAAUAAAAACAGCCCCACAUUGAUGUGAGUACAUCAAAGAAGAACAAAAAGAAAUGAAAGCGCUCCCAGUGGCCAAAGUUGGGAAAGUUUGAGCAAGGAAAUAAAGUAGUGAUGAAUUAUAACCCAAAGUAAAAAAUAUAAAUCCUUGCUGGUUUUAUUUUUAUUUAUUUAUUUAUUUAUUUUUGUCUAUUGCCUUUUUGGGGCUGCACCCAUGGCAUAUGGAGGUUUCCAGGCUAGGAGCCUAAUCAGAGCUGUAGCUCCUGGCCUGUGCCAGAGCCACUGCAAUGCCAGAUACCAGCCACGUCUGUGACCUACAUCACAGCUCACAGCAAUGCCGGAUCUUCAUCCCACUGAGCCAGUCCAGGGAUGGAACCUGCAGUCUCAUGGUUCCUAGUCAGAUUCGUUUGCACUGUGCCACGAGGGUAACUCCAUUUUUUAAAUGUUUUUUUCUUUUUUUAAAAUUAAAUUUUUUAAUUUUAUAUACAGAGAUGAUUAAAUAUAUUAAUAAAUAGGAGAGACAAAUCUGCCAUGCAAAAGAAUUCAAAAUAAUUUCUGUAGGUACUCUGCCCUUGAGGAGAAGCAUAUAGCUCUCUUCCUUAGGGACAGACUGAGCAGAAUGACUUCUUACAAAGUGCAUAGCAUGUAAGGGGAGGGGGAAAAAAAGUAACUUUGUUGUAGAGAAACCUAACAAGUGUUAGCCAGGUAAUCUUGGAAAAAACAUCAGCUGUCAUAAAUCAUGUUCACAGAAUGAACAUUUGAUAUGAUGCAAUAGAAGUGGAACAUUAUAGUCUUCCUUCUAAUAACUCACAACUACAGUCUUACUAGGAGAAAAACAUCAAACUGCACCAAUGGGCGUCCUACAAAAAAUGCCUCACCAGUAUUCCUAAUGUAUCAAUAUUAGUUCCUUAAUUGUAACAAAUGUAUCCUACUAUGUAAUGUUAAUAAUAGUGGAAAUUGGAUAUGGCUUAUAUGGGAACUCUCCAUAUUGUCCUCUCAAUCUGUAGUUCCAAAAUUGUUCUAAAAA
RNAcentral lists this long non-coding RNA (3757 nucleotides) under Sus scrofa (pig). Its description in RNAcentral is "lncRNA (ENSSSCG00030027549.1)". The record is from RNAcentral. Lineage: Eukaryota; Metazoa; Chordata; Mammalia; Artiodactyla; Suidae.